GAACGCAUAUUGCACUUUCUGGUAUUCCGGAAAGUAUGCCUGUUUGAGGGUCAGUUAAAUAAAAAUCGGUGUUGUUGCUGCUGUGGUGACGCGUCGGAAUUGAGUUGUCUUACCUUCGGUUAAGUGACUUAAAAUUUUGCAUGAUUUUUGAACGUAUUUAAAUUGCUUACGUACGUUUGAGAUAUCGAAUAUUUUAUUAGGUUCGGUCAUCCUCAUGACUCGCGCCUAUAAUUUUUCAUUAAAUGACCUCAAAUCAGGUAAGAAUACCCGCUGAACUUAAGC
RNAcentral lists this unclassified non-coding RNA (282 nucleotides) under uncultured Glomeraceae. RNAcentral describes it as "sequence contains ITS2". The stretch from base 1 to 53 matches the Rfam family "5.8S ribosomal RNA", at positions 102 to 154 of the family's 154-position model. Lineage: Eukaryota; Fungi; Glomeromycota; Glomeromycetes; Glomerales; Glomeraceae. The record is from RNAcentral.